Molecule: ribosomal RNA, 398 nt
Filed under: uncultured bacterium
Lineage: Bacteria
Description: bacterial SSU rRNA
Rfam family: Bacterial small subunit ribosomal RNA
Source: RNAcentral
AAUAUUUGACAAUGGGGGCAACCCUGAUCCAGCAAUGCCGCGUGAGUGAUGAAUGCCUUAGGGUUGUAAAGCUCUUUUACCCGAGAUGAUAAUGACAGUAUCGGGAGAAUAAGCUCCGGCUAACUCCGUGCCAGCAGCCGCGGUAAUACGGAGGGAGCUAGCGUUGUUCGGAAUUACUGGGCGUAAAGCGCACGUAGGCGGCGAUUUAAGUCAGAGGUGAAAGCCCGGGGCUCAACCCCGGAACUGCCUUCGAGACUGGAUUGCUUGAAUCCUGGAGAGGUGAGUGGAAUUCCGAGUGUAGAGGUGAAAUUCGUAGAUAUUCGGAAGAACACCAGUGGCGAAGGCGGCUCACUGGACAGGUAUUGACGCUGAGGUGCGAAAGCGUGGGGAGCAAACAG